AGUUGAGCUGGGUUUUUUUGUUUUUCCUGCUAAGAUCUCCCAACAGAAUGCACUGCACCUCCACACCGCACGGGCCCCAAGGGAAUGGGACAACUCAGUUAUGCUGGACCAUCUGAGAAUGUGAGGCCAAAUGACCCACUUCUCUCUCAGGUGUUUGGCUGGUGGAUUCUGGUGAGCAUGCUCUAAGGAGUGCGGGGGCUCUGAGAGCUGGAAACGGCUUUUCUCCAGUUUCCACUAGAAGCAGCCUUGUCCUGAUGGUGGCUUGCAACCACCUUGGCCUGGACCCACUGAUGCAGAGCCACUUGGCUUAUGGUCCCUUCCUUCAGCUACCACAAGAAAUAGAUUUGCAAUGGCCAGAAGUGUGUAGACCACCAUCUUUCAGCUCCUAGAACUAAAGGAACAGAAGUUUGGGAGACAAAGUCAAUGUCUCGAGGCCUUAAAGCAAGUGACACAGACUGGAGAAAACCUCUGGGGUUGGGGUUGUUGGGGUUGGGGGGAGGUGGCCAUUGCAUCAGACUGCUAAGAUGAUCUGCCUGCCUGCAAAGGAGUGGAUGUUCAAGGUUACUUCUCUGUCCAUCCUUCUUUACCCAGCCUCAUCAGUCCCGGGCCCUGGCCUGGCUUCUCUCACAGGCAAUGGUAGUUACCCUGUACCCUGUGUUCCUGCCACUACCCCGUGACACCAUGGUGGACUGUAUCCUGGAACUGUAAGCCAUGAGAAACACUUCCCUGAGUGGAUUUCAUCGGAUAUUUCACUGUGGCAAUGAGACAAGAAACUAACACAGACACGGGUGACAGAGCUGUAGGGAGUGGCCGGCAUGGCCUUCAUGUUAGAGGGACGGAUGGGACGGAGACUCAGUAUGGCUUUUCAGGAUAGACUGGAGUAAAUCACAGGCUCCAGGAAGGAGGCGCCAAGGGGAGAAAACAGCCGAGGAGGCACAGAAGGCAGAAACACGGCAGAAGGCACAAACUCUUCUACAUGUGCCUAGGCAUGAUCAAGAGACCGCAGGGAGCAGCACAUAGUAGGUGCUCAGGAAACUAUGAUGCCUGGAAAUGUAAUCCUGUUAUUUAUAACUAUCACUUCAUAAACUACGCACCACUGUCCCUACUGAUGUCUUCUUUUUUUCCUGUUUUACUAACCAGAAUUUCUCAUUCCCUGACCCUCUCUCACAGAGGAGACUCUCUAUAUUUACAGAGACCUUCCAGGGAGAAUACAACUGCCCCACCCCCUAUGCAAAGGAGCAAGAGGGAGGCACAAAGAGGUGAAGUGCUUUGUCUGUGGUCACACAGCUAGGGGAGGCAAGAUCUGAAUGGAGAACUGCAGAACAUUUUAGGCCUUGCUUUUUCUACCAGGGAUCUAGGCUGCCGAGUUGCUCAUGUGCCAACUUGACUCCUGCUGUCCCUUCAUGAUUCACGGCUGGCCUGCAGAAAUGAUUGGUUCACGCCAGCCCUGGCUAUUCCUAGCGGCCUUUGUCCAGCUCACUGUGUUCUAGAAUGAUGGCGAGACUUAGGUCAGGUGACCGCUGUAGGCUCCGUGAGGGGCUCUAACAGGCCUAAGUAUGGCAGACAUUGCUCUGGCAGGUCUUGUCUUCCCCUAUUCCCUCUGCCUUGCUAAACCAUUAGAUUGCACUCCUAAAGCUAGUCUCCAAGGUCUAUUCCCUUAUUUGGCCACUUCCUCCUCCUGAGGCUGACCACUACGGUCUAGCUAUAAAAGUAUUGAAAUCCAGCAAUCAAAAGCCCCCUUUUGGCUCAUCCAAUGAACCUGUCCAAUCAAAAUUAAACACCUCAUCUUAACACGGGGUUUUCCCUAUCCCUUUAUAAACUGCCAUUUGUCCGUGGGCCAAAUCUGUUUCCUCGCUACCCAAAGGCAGUUCUCUCUUCCUCUCCUUUGUUCCCUUCCCCUUUGCCCUCUAUCUCCUGUCUUUGUCUUUUAUUCCAUGCCCUUUGGUCCUCUCAGGCAAAUUAAUCUUUGUGC
Molecule: long non-coding RNA, 1972 nt
Filed under: Mus caroli (Ryukyu mouse)
Lineage: Eukaryota; Metazoa; Chordata; Mammalia; Rodentia; Muridae
Description: predicted gene 15082 (MGP_CAROLIEiJ_G0003922.1)
Source: RNAcentral